AUUAACAAAUAAAUCACUGAUGGAUGAGUAAGAUGUGUUA
Molecule: non-coding RNA, 40 nt
Filed under: Trypanosoma brucei brucei
Lineage: Eukaryota; Euglenozoa; Kinetoplastea; Trypanosomatida; Trypanosomatidae
Source: RNAcentral